RNAcentral lists this ribosomal RNA (346 nucleotides) under uncultured eukaryote. RNAcentral describes it as "SSU rRNA". It matches the Rfam family "Eukaryotic small subunit ribosomal RNA", at positions 594 to 945 of the family's 1831-position model. The record is from RNAcentral.
AUAGCGUAUAUUUAAGUUGUUGCAGUUAAAAAGCUCGUAGUUGGAUUUCGGAUGGGCACUGCCGGUCCGCCGAUUCGGUGUGCACUGGCCGUGCCCAUCUUGCUGCCGGGGACAGGCUGCUGGGCUUAACUGUCUGGCACCUGGAGUCGGCGAGGUUACUUUGAGUAAAUUAGAGUGUUCAAAGCAGGCCUACGCUCUGAAUACAUUAGCAUGGAAUAACACGAUAGGACUCUGGCCUAUCUCGUUGGUCUGUGGGACCGGAGUAAUGAUUAAGAGGGACAGUCGGGGGCAUUCGUAUUUCAUUGUCAGAGGUGAAAUUCUUGGAUUUAUGAAAGACGAACUUCUG